Camellia sinensis is the source of this 123-nucleotide non-coding RNA. The record is from RefSeq and is a predicted model, not a curated record. Lineage: Eukaryota; Viridiplantae; Streptophyta; Magnoliopsida; Ericales; Theaceae.
ACCAAUUCUGGGGGAUAAAUAUGUUGGUUCCUCUUGGUAUAAUGGCUAGGACGCUAGUGUUUGUGACUAUCCUGAUAUAUGGUUUUUCAGUGCCAUUUCAUCCCUGAAACACCACGUACAUUU